RNAcentral lists this ribosomal RNA (658 nucleotides) under fungal sp. Its description in RNAcentral is "partial large subunit ribosomal RNA". It matches the Rfam family "Eukaryotic large subunit ribosomal RNA", at positions 88 to 777 of the family's 3401-position model. Lineage: Eukaryota; Fungi. The record is from RNAcentral.
GGCGAGUGAAGCGGCAACAGCUCAAAUUUGAAAUCUGGCCCCCAGGGCCCGAGUUGUAAUUUGCAGAGGAUGCUUUUGGCGCGGCGCCUUCCGAGUUCCCUGGAACGGGACGCCAUAGAGGGUGAGAGCCCCGUCUGGUCGGACGCCAAGCCAGUGUAAAGCUCCUUCGACGAGUCGAGUAGUUUGGGAAUGCUGCUCUAAAUGGGAGGUAUAUGUCUUCUAAAGCUAAAUAUAGGCCAGAGACCGAUAGCGCACAAGUAGAGUGAUCGAAAGAUGAAAAGCACUUUGAAAAGAGGGUUAAACAGUACGUGAAAUUGUUGAAAGGGAAGCACUUGUGACCAGACUUGGGCCCGGUGAAUCAUCCAGCGUUCUCGCUGGUGCACUUCGCCGGGCCCAGGCCAGCAUCAGUUCGCCGCGGGGGAUAAAAGCUUCGGGAACGUAGCUCCCUCGGGAGUGUUAUAGCCCGUUGCAUAAUACCCUGCGGUGGACUGAGGUUCGCGCUCCGCAAGGAUGCUGGCGUAAUGGUCACCAGUGACCCGUCUUGAAACACGGACCAAGGAGUCGUCUUCGUAUGCGAGUGUUCGGGUGUCAAACCCCUACGCGUAAUGAAAGUGAACGCAGGUGAGAGCUUCGGCGCAUCAUCGACCGAUCCUGAUGU